UUCCCUUAGUAGCGGCGAGCGAAACGGGAAGAGCCCAAACCAACAAGCUUGCUUGUUGGGGUUGUAGGACACUCUAUACGGAGUUACAAAGGACGACAUUAGACGAAUCAUCUGGAAAGAUGAAUCAAAGAAGGUAAUAAUCCUGUAGUCGAAAAUGUUGUCUCUCUUGAGUGGAUCCUGAGUACGACGGAGCACGUGAAAUUCCGUCGGAAUCUGGGAGGACCAUCUCCUAAGGCUAAAUACUCUCUAGUGACCGAUAGUGAACCAGUACCGUGAGGGAAAGGUGAAAAGCACCCCGGAAGGGGAGUGAAAUAGAACCUGAAACCGUGUGCUUACAAGUAGUCAGAGCCCGUUAAUGGGUGAUGGCGUGCCUUUUGUAGAAUGAACCGGCGAGUUACGAUUUGAUGCAAGGUUAAGCAGUAAAUGUGGAGCCGUAGCGAAAGCGAGUCUGAAUAGGGCGUUUAGUAUUUGGUCGUAGACCCGAAACCAGGUGAUCUACCCUUGGUCAGGUUGAAGUUCAGGUAACACUGAAUGGAGGACCGAACCGACUUACGUUGAAAAGUGAGCGGAUGAACUGAGGGUAGCGGAGAAAUUCCAAUCGAACCUGGAGAUAGCUGGUUCUCUCCGAAAUAGCUUUAGGGCUAGCCUCAAGUGAUGAUUAUUGGAGGUAGAGCACUGUUUGGACGAGGGGCCCCUCUCGGGUUACCGAAUUCAGACAAACUCCGAAUGCCAAUUAAUUUAACUUGGGAGUCAGAACAUGGGUGAUAAGGUCCGUGUUCGAAAGGGAAACAGCCCAGACCACCAGCUAAGGUCCCAAAAUAUAUGUUAAGUGGAAAAGGAUGUGGCGUUGCCCAGACAACUAGGAUGUUGGCUUAGAAGCAGCCAUCAUUUAAAGAGUGCGUAAUAGCUCACUAGUCGAGUGACACUGCGCCGAAAAUGUACCGGGGCUAAACAUAUUACCGAAGCUGUGGAUUGUCCUUUGGACAAUGGUAGGAGAGCGUUCUAAGGGCGUUGAAGCAUGAUCGUAAGGACAUGUGGAGCGCUUAGAAGUGAGAAUGCCGGUGUGAGUAGCGAAAGACGGGUGAGAAUCCCGUCCACCGAUUGACUAAGGUUUCCAGAGGAAGGCUCGUCCGCUCUGGGUUAGUCGGGUCCUAAGCUGAGGCCGACAGGCGUAGGCGAUGGAUAACAGGUUGAUAUUCCUGU
RNAcentral lists this ribosomal RNA (1203 nucleotides) under Staphylococcus aureus. RNAcentral describes it as "partial 23S ribosomal RNA". It matches the Rfam family "Bacterial large subunit ribosomal RNA", at positions 235 to 1442 of the family's 2925-position model. Lineage: Bacteria; Bacillati; Bacillota; Bacilli; Caryophanales; Staphylococcaceae. The record is from RNAcentral.